CUGAAUUGUCAACAAGAGUUGUUGCUGGUCCUCAAAUGAGGGCACGUGCACGCUCUGUUCACACAUCCACUCACACCCUGUGCACCCUCUGUAGUUCUAUGGUUGGGGGGCCUGUCCUCUUGCUAUGGUUCUGCAUCUUUACACACACACACCGUAACAAAGUCUCAUGGAGUGCAUGCCGCGUUUAACGCAAUACAAUA
RNAcentral lists this unclassified non-coding RNA (200 nucleotides) under uncultured Tomentella. Its description in RNAcentral is "sequence contains ITS1". Lineage: Eukaryota; Fungi; Basidiomycota; Agaricomycetes; Thelephorales; Thelephoraceae. The record is from RNAcentral.